UACGAAGGGGGCUAGCGUUGCUCGGAAUUACUGGGCGUAAAGGGCGCGUAGGCGGACAGUUAAGUUGGGGGUGAAAGCCCGGGGCUCAACCUCGGAAAUGCCUUCAAUACUGGCUGUCUUGAGUACGGGAGAGGUGAGUGGAACUCCGAGUGUAGAGGUGAAAUUCGUAGAUAUUCGGAAGAACACCAGUGGCGAAGGCGACUCACUGGCCCGUUACUGACGCUGAGGCGCGAAAGCGUGGGGAGCAAAC
RNAcentral lists this ribosomal RNA (250 nucleotides) under uncultured bacterium. Its description in RNAcentral is "partial 16S ribosomal RNA". It matches the Rfam family "Bacterial small subunit ribosomal RNA", at positions 524 to 773 of the family's 1533-position model. The record is from RNAcentral.